GAAUCGUGAAUAUUUAGUUAUUAUUAUUAUUAUAAAUUUUAUAUGAAGGCAGGUAACGAAUUGGUUGGAAAUUGGCUUUGGAUUUGCGGUGGGUCAUGAUCGUUGAGUUGCUAGAACUUGUUCUCGAGCCCAAUGUCUUCCAAAUUUAAUUAUUGCUAAACUGCUUCAGACCGGACUCGACAAGACCAAAAACAAGAUCGGGACUUAAUAAAAAAAGUUAAUCAAACCUUUUUCCCAUAUAAAAAUAAUUAUCUAAUCAGGACCAAAACCUAUUU
This 275-nucleotide long non-coding RNA is filed under the name Phoenix dactylifera (date palm). Its description in RNAcentral is "long non-coding RNA (PDAC_LNC017103)". The record is from RNAcentral. Lineage: Eukaryota; Viridiplantae; Streptophyta; Magnoliopsida; Arecales; Arecaceae.